UUACUUACCUGGAUGGGGUCAAUGGGUGAUCAUGAACGCCCAUGGCCUAGGCAGUGACCUCCAUUGCACUUAGGAGGGGUGCUAGCCUAAGUUCUACCCAAGUGGUGGAUCCUACAUCAUAAUUUGUUGCUGCAGGGGCCUGCGUUCUCGCGGCCCCUUC
RNAcentral lists this small nuclear RNA (160 nucleotides) under Trifolium pratense (red clover). Its description in RNAcentral is "snRNA U1". It matches the Rfam family "U1 spliceosomal RNA". From Rfam's summary of the family: U1 is a small nuclear RNA (snRNA) component of the spliceosome (involved in pre-mRNA splicing). Its 5' end forms complementary base pairs with the 5' splice junction, thus defining the 5' donor site of an intron. Lineage: Eukaryota; Viridiplantae; Streptophyta; Magnoliopsida; Fabales; Fabaceae. The record is from RNAcentral.